GAGUAACGCGUGGGUAACCUGCCUCAUACAGGGGGAUAACAGUUAGAAAUGACUGCUAACACCGCAUAAUAUAGCGAAACCGCAUGAUUUUGCUAUCAAAUAGUUUAUAGGUAUGAGAUGGGCCCGCGUCUGAUUAGCUAGUUGGUGGGGUAAAAGCCUACCAAGGCGACGAUCAGUAGCCGGCUUGAGAGAGUGACCGGCCACAUUGGGACUGAGACACGGCCCAAACUCCUACGGGAGGCAGCAGUGGGGAAUAUUGGACAAUGGGGGAAACCCUGAUCCAGCGGAACCGCCGCGUGAGUGAAGAAGUAUUUCGGUAUGUAAAGCUCUAUCAGCAGGGAAGAUAAUGACAGUACCUGACUAAGAAGCCCCGGCUAACUACGUGCCAGCCGCUGC
Molecule: ribosomal RNA, 396 nt
Filed under: uncultured bacterium
Lineage: Bacteria
Description: bacterial SSU rRNA
Rfam family: Bacterial small subunit ribosomal RNA
Source: RNAcentral